CCUACGGUAAGAUAAAGUAAUGAUCCAAUUAUACCUCUAUAAAAUUUUUGAUUAACACUUUUACCAUCUUUAUCUUUGUCAAGUUUGUAUGAGAGACUCGUGGGUGUUCUAAUUGCUUUUACACUCUCCAUCCCAAACUUCUUAAGUAUCUCCUUGAUGUACUUGCUUGGUUGAUGAAGAUUUUUUCUUUUAUUUAUUUAAUUUGAAGACUGAGAAAAAAAUUUAGUUCCUCCAUCAUACUCAUUUCAAAUUCUCUCC
This 258-nucleotide long non-coding RNA is filed under the name Elaeis guineensis (African oil palm). RNAcentral describes it as "long non-coding RNA (EGUI_LNC044303)". The record is from RNAcentral. Lineage: Eukaryota; Viridiplantae; Streptophyta; Magnoliopsida; Arecales; Arecaceae.